This 820-nucleotide long non-coding RNA is filed under the name Bos indicus x Bos taurus (hybrid cattle). RNAcentral's name for it is "lncRNA (ENSBIXG00000010502.1)". The record is from RNAcentral. Lineage: Eukaryota; Metazoa; Chordata; Mammalia; Artiodactyla; Bovidae.
CGCAGAGUGGGGUGGUUGCCUAGCAACAACACCUGUAGCACAUUAAGCAGCCAGUCAGCUUUGUCAACUUCUAGCGGGGGCUUUGUAGAGCGGAAGGUGGGGGUGGAAGAAGGAUCAGAGGGCACAGAAGUGGAAAGCUGGACAGUGGCUCUCAAGAUGGAAGAGGGUGCAGAAUUGAGAGUCCCGCCAACAAGGCUUUAUGCCUCUUUUCUUCAAGCAGAAGCAGAUCCGGGAGGACUGGGGGCUCAUUCCACUGACUCAUCUUCGAGGAAGGACCACAGAGAAGAAGCAAAGACUCUGAGAGGGUAAAAUCUUUCUCACUGCCUUCCUUUCACACCUUCCCACGCAUCUCUCUGGACCCCAUCUCACACAUACAUGAGAUACAGCUGAAAAAAAGAAAAGAUUUGGGGAAGGGCAGAGAACUCAAUAAUAUUGUUGCUGCUGUCUUUAUAGAACUCAUGGUCUAGCUAGCCCCUUGAUUUUUCUCACAAUUUCCAAGCUGCCUGAGAGGGCGGGGGGCAGAGAGUGGUGUAUUCGAGGGGAGGGGCCUAUUCUUCUGUAGCCCUGACAACCAGAAGACUUGGAAUCAACCCCACCAUCACUUGUAAGCUAUGUAGCUUUUGGCCGAUAUCUGCACUGAGGCUCAGUUUUCUCAUUUGUAAAGUUGGGGGUCAUUACAGCUGUCCUACUUACCUUAUGGGAAUCAAAGAACACCGCUUUCUGCUCCUCAUUCUCCCAGACCCUCCCCAAAUUAGCAAAUCCCAAAGGCAGUUUAAGUAGAAGCACAUUACAAACACUGUAAGUUCUCCUACAUGUAUAA